AACUUUUAUUAGCAAACAUACUGAAAAGUAUGGACGCAAAGCUAUAGGGUCUACGGAUUUUUUUAGAGAUCUAUGAUCGCCACGCUGCAUGA
Molecule: non-coding RNA, 92 nt
Filed under: Pelosinus sp. UFO1
Lineage: Bacteria; Bacillati; Bacillota; Negativicutes; Selenomonadales; Sporomusaceae
Also listed under: 1 other name
Description: c-di-GMP-I riboswitch aptamer
Rfam family: c-di-GMP-I riboswitch aptamer
About the family: GEMM was predicted in a large-scale screen for bacterial structured RNA regulatory elements. Genes associated with GEMM are involved in a diverse array of functions, including chemotaxis regulation, signal transduction, secretion and chitin.
Source: Rfam by way of RNAcentral